UUUUUUUUUUUUUUUUUUUUUGCCCUUUGUGGGAUUACGUUAGAAUUGGCCACAAAAAAAACAUUUAUUAUAUAUAGAUGAUUGAGAAAUUAUGGGGUUGUUGCCAUCUGGAAAAAAAUUUAUUGUACUAUUGGGUAGGCCACAAAAUGAAGAGAAGAAUGAGGAUAAAUUAUGGUUCUUGACUAAUAUAGAGUACAGUGGAUUAGGUUCUUUCUUCUUCUUUUUUAUAUUCGUAAGAAAAAAUGUCGUACUUUUUUAUAUUGAAAUUGGGAUUUAGUAAUAUGAAUAAUGCUUGUGGUACAUCGAGGUGUCCAAAAUGGACACUUGGCGCCUCGGUAUUGGACACCCUUUUCGAUACCACUUUGUACCACAAGCAUGGUCCUUAAUAAUAUAUAGUUGAUAUGACAAGUUUAAGAAGUGAUUUCGAUAUUAGAUCCUCCUUCAACUCGAUGGAGCUGAGACUUGAAUACUCGUGUUAAAGUGAGCUGAUCUCUCCUAUUAAAACUUGCUUAUAAUUUGUCGAUCUUAGGAAAUAUGGCUGAGGCAUUAGGGGACCAUUUUCAAAAAUAACGUUGAUAAAAAUUUAAUGGAUCAAAUGAUCACCGACAAAAAUUCCUUUGGUGAUCGUGGAUAGUACGAAGGUUGGUAAUUCUAAUUGAAAUCAAUAUUUGUUAGUGAUUCGGACUUAUUUUUGGCUAACGGAGCUUCGCUCACGAACGGUAUAACAAUUGAUGAUUCUGACGAAAAUCAAAAUGUGAGAUUGAUUUGUACGGAAUUGCUAUUAGCCAUACCGUUGUUGGGCUUCGCCAACUAUUGUCGACGGUUUAAUUUUUACAUUUUUAUUAAUUUAUUUAGUGAAAAUAUAUUCAAAGGAUAAAUUAAUUUUGUUAAACUAUUUAUGCUUUUAAAAGUACUGUUAAUUAUA
Molecule: long non-coding RNA, 925 nt
Organism: Olea europaea var. sylvestris
Lineage: Eukaryota; Viridiplantae; Streptophyta; Magnoliopsida; Lamiales; Oleaceae
Exons: 2
Source: RefSeq, a predicted model, not a curated record